This 3194-nucleotide long non-coding RNA is filed under the name Homo sapiens (human). RNAcentral describes it as "HSALNT0406346". Lineage: Eukaryota; Metazoa; Chordata; Mammalia; Primates; Hominidae. The record is from RNAcentral.
CUGGGAACCUGGACCACCUAGAACUGCCUCCUUCCAAGCGACACUGGGGCUGGCUCCCCAUCUGAGCCGUCUGGAGACCCUGUGGCUGGCAGGCGACGCCGUCCCCCCGCCCAGGGCCAAGGGGGAGCAGGGCUGUGGAGAGCAUGACCCCCUUGUUAAACCACGUCUGCCUUUAUGCCUCGAUACACCACACAGAGAGAUGACGGGAGAUACCACCAAGAUGAGAUGCCAACCCGGGAGAGGCUCUGCAGGUCCCCUGGUGCCCACGUCUACCUGGCUUGUCCCCACAGGUGGGUUUUCUGAGACAAGGGGGCUUUUGGACACAGGUCUGUCCCCAGAGCCAGCCAGCAGCUCCAGAGAAGAGACAGCAGGUGCCCAGGACGAUGCGGCUUAGUUGCCAGGUUGCCACGAAACAUCCAAUAUUUGAAAGUGUUCUAUGGACCUCAAAGGGCAAGAGACACCUUAAAAUGUUUGCUGGAUGGCUGUAGGAGGGUAGAGCCCUGGUGGGCACACCUGGUGGUGAGCUUGGAGGCGAGGCUCUGCUGCUCAUGUUCAUGGAGUCCCACGUCCACCAGGCCCUUUGAAUCUCGAGUUUCUGGCUUCAGAUGCCCCCAGGUUUCCAGAAGUCAAGAUUUCUAACAAAUGGACCCAAACCCCAAGCCAGCACCUGGAAGUGGCAGCAACACGGCUGUGUGGACCCCGGUGCUGGGAACCUUCUGGAGGCAGCUGGACACAGGGGCUGCCAGUGUGGAGAGGGACGCUGCUCAUUUUGACAUUUCAUCUGAAUAACGUUCCAAGUGUUCUAAUGAAAGCCUCUGCGCUCCCUUUGAAAUACUAGCAAUUACAAAGAUGAAUAAUUGCAUGAUAAAUAUUAAUUUGCACCAUCGUAAUGAGGCCCAGAAGCAUCCUGCUGCUAACUGAGUAAGUGUGGCCAUCACACCCCACCCUCAGGAAGGAGGAAAAAGUGGCAGCUUGCAGCAGAGAUGGAACAUCCCCAAACCACAGUGACAGCACAAAGGGCUGCCUGUCUGGUUCCAGUCCCCCAAGUAAAGGACACCUGGAGUCUUCGCAGAGGCCGCUGCUUCCCCUAACGGCCCUGCCUUUUGGCGCUGAGUGUCUGCAGACCUUUGGCAACCUUUGCAAAUAUCAUCCUCACAGAGGAGAGCUGCACCUCUUCCAUCUUAAGCAGUGAACCCAGGAUGCUUGGCGAUCUUGGGGCUUGUUUUUUCCUCUAAACACCUGCUGUGUGUUUUAUUGGGCAAGCCGUCCUUUCUGCGUCUGGGCUCCCUUGAGUCUGCAAACCUUCUUCUCUGAGUAUCGUCCACUGCUGGAUCUGAUCCUCUGGCAAGGAUCAGAUUCCCCCUGUCUGCCACCCAGCAGGGAGCAUGCGGGGCCACCGAAGGCACUUCCCCCAGAAAUACAGCAGCCAGGCUCCAGUCAGGGGCAAACAUGUCAGAAACCACACACACACACACGCACACACGCUACAUGCCCAUGAGGCUGAGGCUCCAGACCAUGGGGCUGUGUGUGUGGCCUCAGAAGUGCAUCUUGUGGGCUCUCUGUGCCCUCAUGCCCCUCCUCCCCAGGGUGGACUCAUGCAGCAAGAGAAGGGCUGUGUAUGUGUGUAUGUGUGUGUGUGUGUGGUAUCUGUGUGGUAUAUGGUGUGUGUGUGUGUGGUGUGUGUGUGUUUGAUGUGUGUGUGAUGUGUGAUGUGUGUGUGGUGUGUAUGUGAUAUGUGGUGUGUGUGUGCAGGGUGUGUGUGGUGUACGAUGUAUGUGGUACAUGGUGUGUGUGUGUGACAUGUGAUAUGUGGCACAUGGUUUGUGGUGUGUGGCAUGGGAUGUGUGUAUGGUAUAUGUGUGCUAUAUGGUAUGUGUGUGGUAUAUGUGUGUGGUGCAUGUGUGUGUAAUGUGUGGUGUAUGGUGUGUGUGGUGUAUGUGUGUGAUAUGUGGUGUGUGGCCUGUGGUGUGUGCGUGGUGUAUGUGUGUAUGGUGUAUGUGGUGUGUGCAUGUGAUAUGUGGUGUGUGCCAUGUGAUGUGUGUGGUGUGUGUAUGGUGUAUGUGGUGUAUGUGUGUGACAUGUGUGGUAUGUGAUGUGUGUGGUGUGUGUAUGAUGUAUGUGGUGUAUGUGUGUGAUAUGUGGCAUGUACCACGUGUGUGUGUGUAUGUGUGUGGUUUCUGACACGUGCCUCUGGAGCCCGGCUGCUGCAUUUCUGGGGGAAGCGGCUUCAGUGCACCCCCCGGGCUCCCUGCUGGGUGGCAGACACGGGGAAUCUGGGCCUUUUUGUUUUUUGCCUGUGUGGGUCUGUUUGCCUUGAGGAUCCUGCUAUCUUCAGCAUUAGCAACACCCACCGCUUGAUCAUGGGUCCCAAGAUUCUGGUUUGGUCGGCUCGAGGGCCGCCCGUCCUGACCGUGGGCUUGGGAGGGCGCCCCGGUCUCAUCCUCACCACCUGUGUAUAUUGUGUGUCUUUUCCAUCGCGGGCAGGGUCCUCUAUGUUGAUCUUGUUGAAUCUCAAUGAGUGAAAAUCACUCCCGAAAUGCAUCUUGUGCGGCUGGAGCAGAGAGCAGCCCCUUGAGGUCUCUGGGGCUCGCGGAGCUCCGCGUUUCUGCAGCCGCUUCAGCCGCCCAGUGGGUUUUUGUGUCCUGUGCUAACUUGUGACUCAUGGUUAAAGUUGUGAAACUGAGUCUGUGAGUUCUCCUUAUGUGUGAACCACAAAAAACCAUUUUUUUCCUCCUUGAAAAAGGAGGAUCCUUAGCCUUCUGUGCUGGCCUGUUUGUAAGGGAACCUUUCUGCAUCUGUGGCCUGCUUGGGAGCACCCUCGAUUGCAGCUGUUGGAGAGCCAACGGUAAUAAGAACUGAACAUUCGUUUGCACUUUAGAGAUUUCUGGAACAAUGAGGGGUUGUGUGCCAUGCGCUGAACUGUGUCCCCAGGCCCCACCAAUUCUAUGCUGAAGUCAUCAUCCUCAGGCCCUCAGAGUGUGACUGCAUUUGGAGACAGGGUCUUUAAAGAGGCGAUUAUAGUUAAAUGGGGUCACUGGAGCAGGCCCUCAUCCAAUAGGACCGGUGUCCUUAUAAGAAGAGAAGAUGAUAGGGACACCAGUCCUAUUGGAUUAGGACACAGACAUAUUAGUGUGGGACAACCGUGUGAGGACAUAGGGAGAAGGUGGCAUCUACAAGCCAAGGGGAGAGGCCAC